CAGGUUCAUUCCAUAAAAUUCCCAAUAUUUAACAAAAAAAGAGAGAAGAGUUUCCAAAUGCAACACAUUUUCUGUUUCAUGAGUCCAUUUGUCAUAUCAGCUUGGUGGUGCCAAUUCCAGGAUUAAGUCGCCAGUUCACAAGCAGGCAUCAUUAUAGACUCAAUGGUAAUGGCAUUUUCAGCUACAUAGAGAGCCAGCAAACUGUGAUUCCUCAACUGACCAAUUUGAAUAAUGAGAAGAACCUCCAUUCUGGCCAGGAACCUGAGACAGUCUAUGACACUGUGGAUUUUUUUCAGAUGAACAGUGGCUGUAAAUGCUCUUUCCAUUACUUGCUUCAAUCUACCUUUGUUAUUCUGCCCAGACCCCAUGCUCAGCCCUGGGAACAUGAAAAUCAGCAAGCCACAGUCCCUGUUCUCGCUCCCUCCCAGUCCAGCGUGGAGACAGAUGCAUACAGAGAUGACAGCACAAUGUGAUAAGGCUGUGUGAGCACCUACAAGGGAUGUGCAAAGCUGUCUGCCCACAGGAGUCAGACAAGACUUCUCCAAGGAGGUGAACUUGGAUCUCAGCCUUAAGAGAUGAGUAGAAGUUUGCCAAAGAUGGAGAGCAUCCCAAACAGAACAGAGAUGACCAGGUCAAGAACUUCACGGUGGCAAGUCCCUGGAUACCUGCUGGGCUGAGCAGAAGGAAGCGUCUCCCACCCCCUGCCCUGCUCAACUUCAAGUACUGGGAACCCCCAGCAACAGCAGUCCCACUGGCAGGCAGUGUCUGGAAUCAGUCCUGCUGACCCAAACCAGAUGUGAGCCAUAUUUGGGAUACUGUGUUUUGUACAAGAUCUCCCACCAGCAAAACAUUAUGACUCACUGAAGGCUCAGAGGAUGGUUAGCAUUUUUUAGCAAUGAAGUAUUUUUUAAUUAAGAAUCCAGCCUAGAAAGCACGCGAAACGAACACCGGCCAUCUGAAUUCAGCAAGCUCAUGUAUUUGGAUGCUCAAAAGCAGCAGUCAUCUAUCAAAGGAAGUGUAUUGGACUAAAUGGAGAGAUUUUUAAUAAGAGGCAAGGGGGUGCACU
Molecule: long non-coding RNA, 1066 nt
Filed under: Equus caballus (horse)
Lineage: Eukaryota; Metazoa; Chordata; Mammalia; Perissodactyla; Equidae
Description: lncRNA (ENSECAG00000058302.1)
Source: RNAcentral